RNAcentral lists this ribosomal RNA (465 nucleotides) under Vreelandella stevensii. Its description in RNAcentral is "partial 16S ribosomal RNA". It matches the Rfam family "Bacterial small subunit ribosomal RNA", at positions 338 to 795 of the family's 1533-position model. The record is from RNAcentral. Lineage: Bacteria; Pseudomonadati; Pseudomonadota; Gammaproteobacteria; Oceanospirillales; Halomonadaceae.
CCUACGGGAGGCAGCAGUGGGGAAUAUUGGACAAUGGGGGCAACCCUGAUCCAGCCAUACCGCGUGUGUGAAGAAGGCCCUCGGGUUGUAAAGCACUUUCAGUGAGGAAGAACGCCUGGUGGUUAAUACCCAUCAGGAAAGACAUCACUCACAGAAGAAGCACCGGCUAACUCCGUGCCAGCAGCCGCGGUAAUACGGAGGGUGCGAGCGUUAAUCGGAAUUACUGGGCGUAAAGCGCGCGUAGGUGGCUUGAUAAGCCGGUUGUGAAAGCCCCGGGCUCAACCUGGGAACGGCAUCCGGAACUGUCAAGCUAGAGUGCAGGAGAGGAAGGUAGAAUUCCCGGUGUAGCGGUGAAAUGCGUAGAGAUCGGGAGGAAUACCAGUGGCGAAGGCGGCCUUCUGGACUGACACUGACACUGAGGUGCGAAAGCGUGGGUAGCAAACAGGAUUAGAUACCCGAGUAGUC